AUGUGCCAAGAUGGCGGCGGCGGCCGGUGCCGGGGCCGUGAGGGGCGGCGGGGGCUGCUGAGGGGCCUCGGCCGGCGGGGGCUGCCAGGUACCGCGGGGCGCGCCCGGAGGGAGGGCCGCGGGUCCCGAGUGGGCUGCGUGAGGAGCGCCGGGCCUAAGCAGCAGCGCUGGUCCCAGGUCAGGGCUGUUUUUCCGAGCUGUCAGGUGCCACAGGUCUGUGCAACUGGUGCUGACUCAGGAGUGCGGCUGCCUGAAAGCGUCGGGAGCUGCUGGGGUAAAGAACUGGUAGUCGGGCUCCUUUCAAAAUAAACGGGAGUGCUCUGUGCUGCUUCUGUGCUUUUGAUUCUCAAAGAGCUGUUUUCAUGGAGUCACAGACUGGUUUGGGUUGGAAAGGACCUUCAAGAUCAUCUCAUUCCACUGUCCCAGGUUGCUCCAAGCCCUGUCCAGCCUGGCCUUGGACACUGCCAGGGAUCCAGGGGCAGCCACAGCUUCUCUGGGUACCCUGUGCCAGGGCCUGCCCACCCUCACAGGGAAGGAUUUCUUCCUGAGCUCAUUAAACCUGCCCUAUGCCAGUUUAAAGCUGUUCCCCCUUGUCCUGUUGGCUACGUUUUAACAGAAUAACAUUUGUAACUCUGGUUGCUGCUUAGGAAAAGCCCGGUAGGAAUCUGUCAGGAGCAUGAAUGAUGCAGAACGUGUUCAAUCUGUCACCCACAUGUGUGCAGAUGCGCAGCUGUCUGCGUAAGAUAAAAUUGAAAAAGUAGUUGCUGAUUUUAAAGCUGCAAAUCUCUUUUUCCAGCUGUUCCUGUAUUUGAGAUUGCAGUGGGGUUUUGUCACUUUGUUCUCAUUAGGAAUCUGUGUAUGUGAACAUGUUAUUUAUCAUUUGGUUCGUGUGUGAGGAUGAGAGUUAAUAUUAGUCCUCUGUAACCUGCUUUGGGGGCAUAGUUAUUCUGUUUAAGAGUAAUUUAUUUAGAUAGGAUUAAAUUAAGUCCCAUCAAAGAAAUUAUUUCUUUAUAGAUGAAGCUAUAGAGCUCAUUAGGUGAAAUUAUUUUUAUGGCCUUGUCUAGGGCAUUUUAAUCUUUUUUUCCUCGUUGGCAUUGUUUUCUUGGUAUGCCUGGAAACACCUUCUGCAAUUGUUACUCCUGGUGACUCAUGUUUAGCAGGCUGCUCUGCUUUAUUAAUUAAAAAACCGGCUGAAAUAAGAAUUUCCAAACUAGAUAAAACAGAGAUGGAUUGCUCUUAACUUGUGUAGUUAUUUCUAAAUUCCUUAAAAUCAGCAUUUCCGUUAAUCCUGGAUGAGGCACAAGAGAGGGUCAGUAGCACUGAGUUAUCUUCUGUUUAAAUUACCUGACAUGGGCACGUUCAUUUUAUUUGGACUCAGUUCCUCAAAUCUUGCUUGCUUUUACUACUGUGUGCAGUCUGUUAAUAUUAACUUUGCUUCUGAGGAAGCUGAUCCCUUGUGUUGAACCUCUGUUAUGCACCAUCAAAGAUCCUGUUAGAGGAAUGGCAGGUUCUGCCUUAAAGUAGGACUUUACACUUAUUUUAAUUAGCUAAUUACUGGUACUGGCUGUUACAAAAAUAUGGCAAAGUAUUAGGAUUUUUUUAAUGAGACACUGCAAGGAGUAAAGCCCACAUUAGACAUUUGGAAGUGGGUAUUUAAGUUGGCUUUUGUGCUCAGCUGUAUUUCAGAAACAACUUUUCCAUGAAAAACAGAACUAUUUAGUAGAUACCAAUAUUUUGUUCAGUGAAGUUUGUGCUUUCCAGGACAUAACUGCCUUGGCAGAUGGUUUCAUUAGCUUUUUUCCUCCCCAGUCCAAAGUACGUUGCAUAAACCCAGGAGUUUGUUUGGAGGGGAGAGAGGAGUUUUUAAAGUCUGCUUAAUACAACAAAGAACACAAUGAAAAAGGAAUGGGGAUGCCCAGAACAGCCAGAGGUUCCUUAAGCACGUGGAAAUUGGGAUGGGUGUUUAGGCAGAGUUUCCUGGAAACAUGGUUGGCAGCAAGGUUGGUAAGCAUGGCCAGCUGGAAAACCUUCACCUCAGGAUUGUAACAGGCGAAAAGAUUGCAAAGUCCUAAAACCUUUUUGUAAGCAUUCCUUGAUGGAAUUCAGCAGCUGUGCUUUAAAAAGAAUGGUGAAGGCACUUGCAAGUACUGCAUGAAACUGAUGGAGCUCUAAUGCUUCUGUUGAAAUCUGUUUUGUGUUGUCCUUCCCAUCUUAAUAAAACACAGGUUUAUGGAGUCUUAACUGAAGAUGUGGCUAUGGAGUAUAUGGAUAUAGGGAAGAAAUUGAGAGUCUGUAUUGACUCUGAAAGAGGGACCUGGGUUAUACACAGGGCUGUUGGAGAGAGUUUUCCUUAGGAGAAGUUGUACUGAUGUCCAGUAAAGUCUGUGUGUUGUGGUACUGUCAGUGUGCUUUUUACUGGAAUUUUUAGGUAUAAAUAUUUAUGAAAUACAUGUAGUAUUUUUGAUAACUAGAAACUAGAAGUUUGUCCUGAUUACAAACAUCUGACUUUUCUGGCUUCCCAUUUUAUUACUCGUGCUGAUAAGAUGCUGAAUCUUAGAAGAACUCCAAAUAAGAAUUGUACAGCUUUUUUCUUUCAUAAAAAGAAGUGCAUCUGGUAUGGAACCAUUGCUGUGGUUACUUCACUCUGCAUAUUAUAAAGAAUAUUUGUUGUGUACUAUGAGAAAACAGGAUUAUCACAUAUUGCUAAGGCUUCACUGGGCUCCACUGGACAAGUAUUGAUGAAUUCCUCUGGUUUUGUCAGCCUCCAUCCUCCCCAGAUUGUUAAGUGGUGAUAAAAUUGAAAAAGACACCCUGAUGAAUUUAUUGAACUUCCUGUGUACCAGAUUCCUCACUGGUAUUGUUUGGAGUUGGAGUUGGAUUACUUCCGAGCGUGUCCUUUCCACCCUGAAACGCAGCUGUAACCCUGAUACUGUGCCAAAGUCCCGCCGGUGUUAAAGUGAGAAUGGUCAUUGAUAGGUGGGGGUAGCUGAUUGUUUUUCUAUCCUUAAAUUGAGUUUUGCAGUGCAGCAUUCAUCUAGAAGAGACGAUAUUUGUGACGAAGAUCCAAUUGUCUUUCUCAAAAUAAAUAACAAUACUGUACCACACAGUGUUUUCUUAGUUAAACCAAAAGUGGACUGUUGAGGGUGAUAACAUCUGAUGAAUUCCUUCUUGGGAUGCUUCUCAUUUUACCUGUGAAAAGGUCCAUUCACAUGGAGUGCCAGUGCAUCAGGGCUGAAAAUCAUCUCUAACAGAAUUAGAGUUAGAUAAUGACUUCUCAACUCUUCGUAAUUAAACUGAGCAGGACAUGUUGCUGCAGGCUCUGUUCUAGGCUGGUUGCUGUCCUCUCCGUGAUGCAUAUUUCUAGGAAAUGUAACAGUGGGAUACCAUUGGAGGCUUUGACGCUAGUACAGGUCUGAACUGUGUUUAAUUAGUCUUACUUGGAUAUAUUUGUUAGUAGAAUUGUUAAAUAAUGUGCAUCAAUGCCACACAGCCUUACACUUCAUUAAUGCCGGACUUGGAUUUAGAAAUUUAAUGGAGUGUGUCAGUUUCUUACGUGUUCUGAGGAGAAGGGAGAUACUUUCCACUUCAAAUUGUUCGACUGAUUUUGUUUCUAAAAUAAAAGUUGCUUAAGUGCUGCAUAUAUGAUGAGAAAGGGAACUGACUUGUACCUGUGUUGUCUCAGCAGGGCAGAAGACGACAUCUCUCUACUGCCUCCAGGGCCGAUUUAUCACCGUGU
This is a long non-coding RNA of Corvus moneduloides (New Caledonian crow), 3736 nucleotides long. Lineage: Eukaryota; Metazoa; Chordata; Aves; Passeriformes; Corvidae. The record is from Ensembl.